AAUAGAGUCAUAGACCACCAACCGGACCCAAUCCACGCAGAAUUUUAAUUUUUAUCACUGAAUUUUUCGAGUAAUUCGAAAUAGACAGAGAGAUUUGAUAUUGAGGGCAGUCGAAGAAGACAGACCUCCAUAGCUGAAGUUGAAGCUCUGUCACACUUCACAUCCCCAACACAAUGCGGAGAGCGGGGCUCCAUCACCGGCCGCAUGGGAAGGUUGGAUCAGCAGCAGGAGGAGUGAAAGGAAUGAUGGGGAGGCUGUCCAUCGCCGUUGUUGUCCUCUUGAUCUGCACGGUUUCUUUGCUUCUUAAAUCCACCAGCAAUGGCGGUGCUCGAUCUGCUUACCGUACCCAGAUCAAUGUAGAAGAACUUUGGAAUGGUGCUGAUUCUGGUGGUUGGAGACCGUCAUCAGCUCCACGCUCUGAAUGGCCCCCUCCACCUAGGGAGACUAAUGGCUAUCUCCGAGUACGCUGUAAUGGUGGUCUAAAUCAACAACGUAGCGCGAUAUGUAAUGCGGUUUUAGCUGCACGAAUCAUGAAUGCUACCCUUGUGCUGCCCGAGUUGGAUGCAAACUCCUUUUGGCAUGAUGAUAGUGGCUUCCAUGGUAUAUAUGAUGUUGAGCACUUUAUCAGAGCACUGAGGUUUGAUGUACGUAUUGUGGAAAGCCUACCAGAAAUUCGCAAAAAUGGGAAGACCAAGAAGAUAAAAGCUUUGCAGAUUAAUCCCCCUAGAGAUGCUCCUGUUAGUUGGUAUACUACUGUUGCUCUAGAGAAAAUGAAACAGCAUGGUGCCAUCUACCUCACUCCCUUUUCACAUCGUUUGUCAGAAGAAGUUGACAACCCUGAGUACCAAAGGUUAAGGUGCAGGGUUAAUUAUCAUGCUCUAAGAUUUAAGCCACAGAUUAUGAAAUUAAGUCAAUCAAUAGUUGAUAAGCUCCGUACACAAGGCCACUUCAUGUCUAUACAUCUUCGGUUUGAGAUGGAUAUGCUGGCAUUUGCUGGGUGCUUCGACAUUUUCACCCCUGCACAGCAAAAGAUCUUAAAGAAAUAUCGAGAAGAAAAUUUUGCACCAAAAAAGCUGGUUUAUAAUGAAAGGAGAGCUAUUGGAAAAUGCCCAUUAACUCCAGAAGAGGUUGGUCUUCUUUUACGUGCAAUGGGGUUUGACAAUUCUACCAGAAUAUACCUGGCAGCUGGUGAAUUAUUUGGCGGUGAGAAAUUCAUGAAACCAUUUCGAUCUCUGUUCCCCCACCUUGAGAACCACAGCUCUGUGGAUCCCUCUGAAGAUCUCGCAGGAAACACGAGAGGAUUGUUAGGGUCUGCUGUGGAUUACAUGGUCUGUCUUCUCUCUGAUAUUUUUAUGCCUACAUAUGAUGGCCCUAGCAACUUUGCCAAUAAUCUCCUUGGACACCGCUUGUACUAUGGAUUUCGGACUACACUGCGACCUGACAGAAAGGGUCUUGCUCCAAUCUUCAUUGAUCGGGAAAAUGGAAAGACAGCAGGUUUUGAUGAAGCUGUUAGGCAAGUCAUGCUCAAAACAAACUUUGGUGGACCUCACAAACGGAUCUCACCUGAGUCCUUCUACACAAAUUCUUGGCCAGAGUGUUUCUGCCAAAUGUCAUCACAGAAUCCUGCUCAUAAAUGUCCUCCAAAUGAUGUCCUAGAGAAACUUAACAACCAGCUAGAGAGUGAAGUAGCUAAUGAUCUAAAUUCCUUAUCUCUAUCAAACUCCACAGGAUCUGUAGCAGAAAGAUGAGAAACUUUGCCUCAGACUAGAGUUAGUGAUUUGUUUUUACCACAAUACUUGUGAGCCAUUAUAUGUCAAACUAAGAAGACAUGGGUUGUGAUAACCAUUCUCAGGUAGGGAUGCUGGAGUAUUUUUGCUAUAUUAUGAUUGGUUUUUCAAAGGUUGAUUCUAAAUCCCUGGCUUCAUCUUUCAAAUGGCCCAGCAGGUUCACGAUACUUUAGGAUUCGGACUAUGUAUAUGAGAUAUACUUUACACGGCUGUGCAUAUGGAUGUUCUGAUUAUGCACAUAUGGAACUAAAUUGAUGAUAAAUUUGUGAAAUAUUUGUAUCAUGUUAAAUUACGGAUUUCUGAUACCAUAUGACAUUUGUUUUGACUUUUAUGCAUCACUAACCCCUUUUCCUAUUCCAAUAAUAUAUCUUUUUGAUUUC
RNA transcript from Ziziphus jujuba (common jujube), 2167 nucleotides. It is a transcript of the gene named O-fucosyltransferase 1, with no coding region annotated. The transcript has 10 exons. The record is from RefSeq and is a predicted model, not a curated record. NCBI's taxonomy places the organism in Eukaryota, Viridiplantae, Streptophyta, Magnoliopsida, Rosales, Rhamnaceae.